RNAcentral lists this transfer RNA (86 nucleotides) under Candidatus Omnitrophota bacterium. RNAcentral's name for it is "tRNA-Asn". It matches the Rfam family "tRNA". Rfam says of the family: Transfer RNA (tRNA) molecules are approximately 80 nucleotides in length. Their secondary structure includes four short double-helical elements and three loops (D, anti-codon, and T loops). Further hydrogen bonds mediate the characteristic L-shaped molecular structure. tRNAs have two regions of fundamental functional importance: the anti-codon, which is responsible for specific mRNA codon recognition, and the 3' end, to which the tRNAs corresponding amino acid is attached (by aminoacyl-tRNA synthetases). tRNAs cope with the degeneracy of the genetic code in two manners: having more than one tRNA (with a specific anti-codon) for a particular amino acid; and 'wobble' base-pairing, i.e. permitting non-standard base-pairing at the 3rd anti-codon position. RNAcentral also lists the same sequence under 1 other name. Lineage: Bacteria; Pseudomonadati; Candidatus Omnitrophota. The record is from RNAcentral.
UCCAGAGUAGAGCGUAGUUGGUUGCGUGUUCGGCUGUUACCCGAAAGGAUAUUCCCCCGCAGGUUCGAACCCUGCCUCUGGAGCCA